RNAcentral lists this long non-coding RNA (202 nucleotides) under Carica papaya (papaya). Its description in RNAcentral is "long non-coding RNA (CPAP_LNC016154)". Lineage: Eukaryota; Viridiplantae; Streptophyta; Magnoliopsida; Brassicales; Caricaceae. The record is from RNAcentral.
UGAGACCCGCUAUUGGUCCAUCGGUAACCCAUGCAGGGCAGUCCGACGUGCAACAAGAGGACUUUAACCGGCUUUGCAGAGUAGUUGAGAAUCUGGCUACUAUGAUCAGAGAUAGGGAAUUACUGUCAGAGACAGCAUCGGUGCCACAAUAGGUUCAUUAAGGUGUAGUGGAUACAAGCAACACUGAGAAGUAUCGAAUGCU